RNAcentral lists this long non-coding RNA (201 nucleotides) under Homo sapiens (human). RNAcentral's name for it is "non-protein coding lnc-CTNNA1-3:1". The record is from RNAcentral. Lineage: Eukaryota; Metazoa; Chordata; Mammalia; Primates; Hominidae.
UCAGGAGUUCGAGACCAGCCUGACCAACAUGGUGAAACCCCAUCUCUACUAAAAAUUCAAAACUUAGCCGGGUGUGGUGGCAUGCACCUGUAAUCCCAGCUACUCAGGAGGCUGAGGCAGGAAAAUCGCUUGAAUCCGGGAGAUGGAGGCUGCAGUGAGCUGAGAUCAUGCCACUGCACUCCAGCCUGGGUGACAGAGAGA